Molecule: long non-coding RNA, 541 nt
Organism: Saccostrea echinata
Lineage: Eukaryota; Metazoa; Mollusca; Bivalvia; Ostreida; Ostreidae
Exons: 3
Source: RefSeq, a predicted model, not a curated record
AUUCAUCUGAUGGACAAGAAGUGCGCGUCUUCUUGCUGUUCACAUAUUAUGUAUUUUACACGCCAUGCACAAGGAUUAAGGCUGGAUUAUCAACUUCUUCUCAUUGGCCGUAAGGUUCCAUCAACCACCGGCGGCUUUGAGACGUAAUUGAUGCCCUGAUUGGAUGAGAGCCAUCGCCCGUGAAAAUUACAAAGGAAUGCAACAUUGUAGGAUGGAGCUUCCUGUUCAUUUCUUUCCGACUGACGAGUCAUUUUGUGGGACUUACAUGUAACUAUGCGCGUGAUUUAAAAUCAAUGGAUCCGCCACUUUUUUGAACUUAGUUUUAGACAGAUGCGUGAUAUGAUGAACCUGGAUAUGAUUACUGUGACCCCCUUUUCACAAGGAAGAUAAAUUUUGUUAAACAGUGAUUUUUGAGAUUCGGUGAUUGGAUCCUGGAUUUAUCUUUGUUUUUAAAAUACAGUUUAAAAUAAAUUUACUCAGAAUCUUAAUACUGAAUUACAACUUACAUAUUUCGCAACUUGAAUAAAAACUUUUAUUAGAA